GGAAUAUUGGACAAUGGGCGCAAGCCUGAUCCAGCCAUGCCGCGUGUGUGAAGAAGGCCUUCGGGUUGUAAAGCACUUUUAUCCGGAAAGAAAAGCGCUGGGUUAACACCCUGGUGUCCUGACGGUACCGGAAGAAUAAGCACCGGCUAACUUCGUGCCAGCAGCCGCGGUAAUACGAAGGGUGCAAGCGUUACUCGGAAUUACUGGGCGUAAAGCGUGCGUAGGUGGUUUGUUAAGUCUGAUGUGAAAGCCCUGGGCUCAACCUGGGAAUUGCAUUGGAUACUGACAGGCUAGAGUGCGGUAGAGGGUAGUGGAAUUCCCGGUGUAGCAGUGAGAUGCGUAGAGAUCGGGAGGAACAUCUGUGGCGAAGGCGACUACCUGGACCAGCACUGACACUGAGGCACGAAAGCGUGGGGAGCAAACAGGAUUAGAUACCCGGG
Molecule: ribosomal RNA, 440 nt
Filed under: uncultured Thermomonas sp.
Lineage: Bacteria; Pseudomonadati; Pseudomonadota; Gammaproteobacteria; Lysobacterales; Lysobacteraceae
Description: bacterial SSU rRNA
Rfam family: Bacterial small subunit ribosomal RNA
Source: RNAcentral